RNAcentral lists this ribosomal RNA (486 nucleotides) under uncultured bacterium. RNAcentral describes it as "partial 16S ribosomal RNA". It matches the Rfam family "Bacterial small subunit ribosomal RNA", at positions 30 to 507 of the family's 1533-position model. The record is from RNAcentral.
AUUGAACGCUGGCGGCAUGCCUUACACAUGCAAGUCGAACGGCAGCACGGGUGCUUGCACUUGGUGGCGAGUGGCGAACGGGUGAGUAAUACAUCGGAACAUGUCCUUUAGUGGGGGAUAGCCCGGCGAAAGCCGGAUUAAUACCGCAUACGAUCUACGGAUGAAAGCGGGGGACCUUCGGGCCUCGCGCUAUAGGGUUGGCCGAUGGCUGAUUAGCUAGUUGGUGGGGUAAAGGCCUACCAAGGCGACGAUCAGUAGCUGGUCUGAGAGGACGACCAGCCACACUGGGACUGAGACACGGCCCAGACUCCUACGGGAGGCAGCAGUGGGGAAUUUUGGACAAUGGGCGAAAGCCUGAUCCAGCAAUGCCGCGUGUGUGAAGAAGGCCUUCGGGUUGUAAAGCACUUUUGUCCGGAAAGAAAUCCUUGGCCCUAAUACGGUCGGGGGAUGACGGUACCGGAAGAAUAAGCACCGGCUAACUACGUG